AACGAACGCUGGCGGCAUGCCUAACACAUGCAAGUCGAACGAGACCUUCGGGUCUAGUGGCGCACGGGUGCGUAACGCGUGGGAAUCUGCCCUUGGGUUCGGAAUAACUCAGAGAAAUUUGAGCUAAUACCGGAUGAUGACGUAAGUCCAAAGAUUUAUCGCCCAAGGAUGAGCCCGCGUAGGAUUAGCUAGUUGGUGAGGUAAAGGCUCACCAAGGCGACGAUCCUUAGCGGUCUGAGAGGAUGAUCAGCCACACUGGGACUGAGACACGGCCC
This 275-nucleotide ribosomal RNA is filed under the name uncultured bacterium. RNAcentral describes it as "partial 16S ribosomal RNA". It matches the Rfam family "Bacterial small subunit ribosomal RNA", at positions 29 to 332 of the family's 1533-position model. The record is from RNAcentral.